CACGCCGUAAACGAUGAAUACUAGGUGUAGGGGGUAUCGACUCCCUCUGUGCCGCAGCUAACGCAAUAAGUAUUCCACCUGGGGAGUACGGCCGCAAGGUUGAAACUCAAAGGAAUUGACGGGGGCCCGCACAAGCAGUGGAUUAUGUGGUUUAAUUCGAAGCAACGCGAAGAACCUUACCAGGACUUGACAUCCUUUGACCGCUAUAGAGAUAUAGCUUCCCUUCGGGGCAAAGAGACAGGUGG
This 245-nucleotide ribosomal RNA is filed under the name uncultured Saccharofermentans sp. RNAcentral's name for it is "partial 16S ribosomal RNA". It matches the Rfam family "Bacterial small subunit ribosomal RNA", at positions 796 to 1041 of the family's 1533-position model. Lineage: Bacteria; Bacillati; Bacillota; Clostridia; Eubacteriales; Oscillospiraceae. The record is from RNAcentral.